This 495-nucleotide ribosomal RNA is filed under the name uncultured bacterium. RNAcentral describes it as "partial 16S ribosomal RNA". It matches the Rfam family "Bacterial small subunit ribosomal RNA", at positions 28 to 507 of the family's 1533-position model. The record is from RNAcentral.
GACGAACGCUGGCGGCGUGCCUAAUACAUGCAAGUAGAACGCUGAAGGAGGAGCUUGCUUCUCUGGAUGAGUUGCGAACGGGUGAGUAACGCGUAGGUAACCUGCCUGGUAGCGGGGGAUAACUAUUGGAAACGAUAGCUAAUACCGCAUAAGAGUAGAUGUCGCAUGACAUUUGCUUAAAAGGUGCAAUUGCAUCACUACCAGAUGGACCUGCGUUGUAUUAGCUAGUUGGUGAGGUAACGGCUCACCAAGGCAACGAUACAUAGCCGACCUGAGAGGGGGAUCGGCCACACUGGGACUGAGACACGGCCCAGACUCCUACGGGAGGCAGCAGUAGGGAAUCUUCGGCAAUGGACGGAAGUCUGACCGAGCAACGCCGCGCGAGUGAAGAAGGUUUUCGGAUCGUAAAGCUCUGUUGUAAGAGAAGAACGAGUGUGAGAGUGGAAAGUUCACACUGUGACGGUAUCUUACCAGAAAGGGACGGCUAACUACGUG